RNAcentral lists this ribosomal RNA (451 nucleotides) under uncultured bacterium. RNAcentral's name for it is "bacterial SSU rRNA". It matches the Rfam family "Bacterial small subunit ribosomal RNA", at positions 355 to 825 of the family's 1533-position model. The record is from RNAcentral.
UCAAGAAACUUCCACAAUGGGCGAAAGCCUGAUGGAGCGACGUCGCGUGAUGGACGAAGUGCUUCGGCACGUAAACAUCUUUUUAUGUGGGAUGAAAUUAUUGACAGUACCACAUGAAUAAGGGGCUCCUAACUCUGUGCCAGCAGGAGCGGUAAUACAGAGGCCCCAAGCGUUAUCCGGAAUCACUGGGCGUAAAGGGUGUCGAGGCGGUUGUAUUAGUCGUUCGUAAAAUCUACGAGCUUAACUUGUAGGCGGCGAACGAAACGGUACGACUUGAGGUUUGGAGAGGUGCGUGGAACUCACGGUGUAGGGGUGAAAUCCGUUGAUAUCGUGGGGAACACCAAAGGCGAAGGCAGCGCACUGGCCAAAAUCUGACGCUCACACACGAAAGCUAGGGUAGCGAAGAGGAUUAGAUACCCUUGUAGUCCCUGAGCGGGCUGGCAAGGCGCAU